Asparagus officinalis (garden asparagus) is the source of this 1199-nucleotide RNA transcript. It is a transcript of the gene named rac-like GTP-binding protein 3, with no coding region annotated. The record is from RefSeq and is a predicted model, not a curated record. Lineage: Eukaryota; Viridiplantae; Streptophyta; Magnoliopsida; Asparagales; Asparagaceae. The transcript is spliced from 9 exons.
CUCACGGGUCUCUCACACUCUUAUAUUCUCUCUGCUACCCCCAAGAAGGAUUCACAGGGAGGAUCAUGUGAAGUGCAAAAACCCCUUUUUCUAUUUUCCAAAAAUAAUUUUAACCCAUAAAACCAACGCCUUCAUCAAACUCUUUUCUCCCCAGAGAGAGAAGAAUAAUGUCAUCCAGCGCUUCGAGAUUCAUCAAGUGCGUCACUGUCGGCGACGGCGCUGUUGGCAAAACCUGCAUGCUCAUCUGCUACACAAGCAACAAGUUCCCUACUGAUUAUAUACCCACUGUGUUUGAUAACUUCAGCGCGAAUGUGGUUGUUGAAGGGACCACUGUGAAUUUGGGUCUUUGGGAUACUGCUGGGCAAGAGGAUUAUAAUAGGUUGAGGCCAUUGAGCUACAGAGGGGCUGAUGUCUUCGUGCUGUCCUUCUCUUUGAUCAGCAGGGCGAGUUACGAGAACGUGCUGAAAAAGUGGAUUCCAGAGCUUCAGCAUUUUGCGCCCGGAGUGCCCGUUGUACUUGUUGGUACUAAAUUGGAUCUUCGUGAAGAUAAGCGCUAUUUAUCAGAUCAUCCUGGCUUGGUGCCUGUUACAACUGCUGAGGGAGAAGAACUACGCAAGCAGAUUAGUGCUGCAUAUUACAUUGAGUGCAGCUCAAAAACACAGCAGAAUGUCAAGGCAGUUUUUGAUGCUGCAAUCAAGGUAGUUAUUCAACCUCCAUCGAAGAAGAAGGAGAAGAAGAAGAAGAAAAAGCCGGAGCGUGGAUGUUCAAUAUUGAAUAUCCUCUGUGGGAGGGAACUCACAUCUUAAACAAAGCGACAUAUAAUGGAAUACUGUAGAUUUCAGUUAUGUGCUUCAUGCUCAUUUCAUGACCUUAUAUUUCAUCAGGUACAAUUGAUCGCAUACAUUUUUCAGGGAUGGAAAGUAUACAAAUAUCCCAGGAUAUAUCCAUAUUUGUAUAUGGUAUGAUGUCAUUGAGAUAUCUUUUUUACUGAUUUGGUAGGUUAAAUAUAUGAAGAUAAAUAUAAGUACAAUAUCUAGAUUCAAAUUCUCAUAUUUGGAUGUACAUAUAUGAAUCAUACAAUUGAAAAUAUUUCGCAGUAGAUUGGUGGAUCUGCGACCAUUCUGGAGAUCGUGAGAUAUGUCCUUAUCUUUUUAGAUAUAUCCAACUCAAUGAACUUUGAUUUGAGAAAUUUUCUUUUA